CUGGGGAUCUUGCACAAUGGGCGAAAGCCAGACUCAGCAACGCCGCGUGGACGAUGAAGGCCUUCGGGUCGUAAAGUCCUUUUCAGAGGGACGAGUGAGGACGGUACCUCUGGAAUAAGUCACGGCUAACUACGUGCCAGCAGCCGCGGUAAAACGUAGGUGGCGAGCGUUAUCCGGAUUCACUGGGCGUAAAGCGCCUGCAGGCGGUCCUGUAAGUGGGAUGUGAAAUCUCCUGGCUUAACUGGGAGGGGUCAUUCCAUACUGCAGGGCUUGAGGGCAGAAGAGGGAAGCGGAAUUCCCGGUGUAGUGGUGAAAUGCGUAGAUAUCGGGAGGAACACCAGUGGCGAAGGCGGCUUCCUGGCCUGCUCCUGACGCUGAGAGGCGAAAGCUAGGGGAGCGAACGGGAUUAGAAACCCCGGUAGUCCUAGCCGUAAACGAUGGAUACUGGGUGUCGGUGGUCCUAACCCCAUCGGUGCCGAAGCCAACGCGUUAAGUAUCCCGCCUGGGGACUACGGCCGCAAGGUUA
RNAcentral lists this ribosomal RNA (526 nucleotides) under uncultured bacterium. RNAcentral's name for it is "bacterial SSU rRNA". It matches the Rfam family "Bacterial small subunit ribosomal RNA", at positions 355 to 896 of the family's 1533-position model. The record is from RNAcentral.